GGUAGGCUACUUACUGUCUGUCCGCCGCUUCCAUCUCUCUCCUCCCGAGCUUUGCCCGCCCCUCGGGAGAUGUCCCAUCUCUGCUUCGUUCCCAAAGCUAACCGCACUGAGGUUUCCCCACCCUGGAUGCUCCCUGAAGACGGAGUUUUUGCUGUUAUCCCCGCCCCAGUUGCCAGCCAGAGUGGUACCCAGGCUCCGCGGAGCUUUGCGCUCCUACUGCCCCUCACGGUCGGUCCUAGAGAGACGCGUCGGGCAGAUGCAAACCUCCUGACUCUUCUAGGGGGUAAGGGAAAAAAAGAGAAAAAAAAUCCACCGAGUCAGAAACCUGCUUGAAAAAAACCAGUCCCUGAAGACUUGCCUAGCUGAGGGACAAAGUCUGGAGGCUAGUAGGAUGGGGAAAGCUCUGGGCUCUCCUUCCUUCCUCCACCUACGUGCACUCCACUUGCGCCAGCCUUCACUCACCUUGGGCUCUGCUCUGGUCCUGAAGUCCAGGAUGCCAGGUCGGGGCACCUCGAUGGCCCCGGGUCCUGCUGCUCCCCACACUGGCGACCCCCGCCGCCGCAAGCGCGCGCCGCACUCACCUGAGCCGCGCCUCGGCUGUCCAGCCGGUCCGGCGCCCGAAGUCGGCUCCUGGGCUUGGCCAUGGGCAGCGCCGUGGAGCCCCGGCGGCCAGCGGAGCGAGUUUUUCCAGGACGACCCGGGCCGGAGGGCGAGACACCGGCGCAGGCGCCCGCGGAGACCCAGUGGUGGCGGCGGUUCGCGGCUGCCCUCGCGCCGGGGACUUUGCAGGCGGGGAGGCGAGGUUAUCACCGCCGCCGAGGGGAGGAGCAGAGGGAGGAGCGGGAGCGGGAGGAGGGGACAGAGGAGGCCGGGCCCGAAGGGAGAGCGUGUCGGGCCGAGGAGGAUCGCGAGCGCCCACUGCUGCCCGGUCCGCUCCGGUGCUGCCCCGGGGUCGGGUCGACUCGGAGUCCGGCUCGCCACUCCGCUCCCGGGGCGGCCGGGCAGGGCUCGGGAAAUCCCGCGGACAGGUCCCCCAGGAGACUCCAGGAGAUGCUGGGAUGUAUCAAGAACCACUAGUCUCACCCUUGAAACCACCUUUAUCUGUGAUGAUACCACAGAUGACCAGAGAAAUCCUGCUAGGAAUCUACUUCAUAUCUUUACCAGUAAAAAAGACAAAAACAGUAUAAAUAAAUGA
This is a long non-coding RNA of Bos grunniens (domestic yak), 1195 nucleotides long. The record is from Ensembl. Lineage: Eukaryota; Metazoa; Chordata; Mammalia; Artiodactyla; Bovidae.